UACACAUGAUGAUCUUGUGAAGGGACUUAAUACUGAAGUAUGUGAUGCUGCUUCAUUCUGAUGUGU
Mobula hypostoma (lesser devil ray) is the source of this 66-nucleotide small nucleolar RNA. RefSeq annotates it as small nucleolar RNA SNORD82. Lineage: Eukaryota; Metazoa; Chordata; Chondrichthyes; Myliobatiformes; Myliobatidae. The transcript has a single exon. The record is from RefSeq and is a predicted model, not a curated record.